RNAcentral lists this ribosomal RNA (468 nucleotides) under uncultured bacterium. RNAcentral describes it as "partial 16S ribosomal RNA". It matches the Rfam family "Bacterial small subunit ribosomal RNA", at positions 28 to 507 of the family's 1533-position model. The record is from RNAcentral.
GACGAACGCUGGCGGCGUGCUUAACACAUGCAAGUCGAACGGAAAGGCCCUGCUUUUGUGGGGUGCUCGAGUGGCGAACGGGUGAGUAACACGUGAGUAACCUGCCCUUGACUUUGGGAUAACUUCAGGAAACUGGGGCUAAUACCGGAUAGGAGCUCCUGCUGCAUGGUGGGGGUUGGAAAGUUUCGGCGGUUGGGGAUGGACUCGCGGCUUAUCAGCUUGUUGGUGGGGUAGUGGCUUACCAAGGCUUUGACGGGUAGCCGGCCUGAGAGGGUGACCGGCCACAUUGGGCCUGAGAGACGGACCAGACUCCUACGGGAGGCAGCAGGGGGGAGUAUUGCACAGUGGGCGGAAGCCUGAGACGACGACGCCGCGUGCGGGAUGACGGCCUUCGGGUUAUGAACCGCUGUCGCCUGUGACGAAGCGUGAGUGACGGUAAUGGGUAAAGAAGCACCGGCUAACUACGUG